UUUAAAUACAACCAUGAGAUUCUCCACUCAACUUUCAUCGUCCGUAUUAUUUAAAACUUUUUUAUAAUUAGUUUUUUAUUGUUAUGGGAUGAUAAAAUAUGAAUACUAAUGUUUCUAUUUUUUUUCAAAUAAGACGGACGAUUAAAGUAGGACGCGGAGAACCAUGGCUGCAUUCAAA
This is a non-coding RNA of Oryza meridionalis, 178 nucleotides long. Lineage: Eukaryota; Viridiplantae; Streptophyta; Magnoliopsida; Poales; Poaceae. The record is from Rfam.